CCAGGAUCCAAUGGCAUUGAGUAUCCAUUGAUCAGGAUGGCCACAGAGGUCAAUGUAGCGUCCGAGCCAUUACAUCAGGAGGAACCAAUAAUCCUCUAGAAUUGGUAAUGGACGCAUUUUCACAAUUUGGUUUUCAAUUUCACUAGAUUAAAUUUAAAACUUGAUUAUGUUGGAAUGGAGCUCAGUGGAAGGAGAAGUCGUUUUGUAAGAAUGAGCUCACGGCAAGACCCCAAAUAGAGGUCAUGUCCACUGCCCAAAACACGUCCAGUGUUUCACCUCAUCAUCGCAAACCACAACCCAACAAAUCAAAAUUUGCAAACUUUAAACCAAACCAAAACUACUGUAAAAAAUUUUAGGAAAAAUAAUUAAAAUUUGAGCCUCAGUGUAUGUAACAAUCAGAUCAUUCACCCUAAUUAAGGGCUCACUGAAAUCCGCUAAGAUAAUUAAAAAUUAUCAUCAUAAGCUCAAUGUAGAGCCAUACAAACCCUUACAAACAAAAUCAAUUUUACAGCUUAAAAAAGCCAAUAAAUUUGAGAAAAAAUUUAUGGGAUCUGCCAGAAAGUCAAAAAGGUAAGAUGGGUUACUUCGGAAAAAAGCACUUUCCAAAACCACAGAUUGGAAGAUUAGAGAACAGAUGAAGAGUGCUCAGACAGCCAAGGGUUUGUAAUCAAACUUUUGGGAGAAGAACCCAGAUCAUAAACUCUAGUCCACAAAUAGCCUCAUCACCGCACACUUCUGAUUUAACAGAAAACACAAAUGAGCUGCAAAAACAAUUGAAUUUGAUUGAAAAACCCUAGAUUUGGGAUCUAAGAAAACUUCUUCGGGAAAGGAUUAGGGUUUGGGAGGCGUAGAGAAAAUGGGAUGAGAAGCGUGUGAGAGUUGGGUGGUG
Molecule: long non-coding RNA, 889 nt
Filed under: Prunus dulcis (almond)
Lineage: Eukaryota; Viridiplantae; Streptophyta; Magnoliopsida; Rosales; Rosaceae
Description: sRNA ncRNA
Source: RNAcentral